Laticauda laticaudata (blue-ringed sea krait) is the source of this 202-nucleotide small nucleolar RNA. Its record names the gene SNORA74. It matches the Rfam family "Small nucleolar RNA SNORA74". From Rfam's summary of the family: U19 belongs to the H/ACA class of snoRNAs. snoRNAs bind a number of proteins (including dyskerin, Gar1p and Nop10p in the case of the H/ACA class) to form snoRNP complexes. This class are thought to guide the sites of modification of uridines to pseudouridines by forming direct base pairing interactions with substrate RNAs. NCBI's taxonomy places the organism in Eukaryota, Metazoa, Chordata, Lepidosauria, Squamata, Elapidae. The record is from Ensembl.
UCCAGUGGUGGUCAGCUGUCUGUGUCAGAACUGUGUCUUUGACAGUGUUACACUGCUGGGAGAGAAAGAUACUGUGUAUUUAGCUGUCUGUCAUUUUCUCCGUUCUGGAGGUACCUGACACCAGUGUUAACAGUAUUGUGCUUUUCUGAGAGUGUGUUGAGCAGACAACCUCCUGGUCAGCACUAGUCUGAAAGCAUACACA